Molecule: long non-coding RNA, 779 nt
Filed under: Zea mays
Lineage: Eukaryota; Viridiplantae; Streptophyta; Magnoliopsida; Poales; Poaceae
Description: long non-coding RNA (ZMAY_LNC000574)
Source: RNAcentral
AAAUAGGUUCUCUCCUAUUUCCUAAAAGCUGACGAUCCGGGUGCAGAAGCUGAACAGAUGUUGUUCUGCCUUUCCCAGACAACAGGCUGUCUCCAUGAAACUCCUCAAAUUUCAUCCAAUAAACAAAUAUUUUCUAUUCUUUAUAGCACACUUUAAUAUUUUAUUUUAUAUAUAUUCUUCGUCUUGAACAAUAUAUUCUCUAAAUUCGGUACUUUAUAUAAACAGUGUUACCGGACUUCGUAUUCUGUAUAUUUUUUAUAACUGGCGCACAGGAAAAGGUCUCGUCACAGUAUUAAAAUACGACCUAUACUAAUUCUAGAAUACGAUUUUUUUAUAUCGAACACACAGAAAAAGUUUGUUCGCGUGUCUCAAAAAAUAAAAUACUAUACAUAUUACGUUAUUCGUUAUUUAGCCAACAUCACUCAUUCUUAUUUUAUACACAACCCUUACCAGACCAUGUAUUUUACAAAUGUUUCGAAUCGGACAUAUGAAAAAUAAGUAAAUGAUCAACCGUAUUUGCCGAUAAUAAAAGUGGUAUGUAUUGUCCGUCUCGUCCAAAUGUCUCUAUCCUCUGUCCUGUCGCGGGAGCGAGCUAUCACGCCUUUAGGCUAUCCGCACUCAUACUACUCUAAAUUUCUACCCUAAAAAGAAUAUUCUGUCAUGGUCAGCAAAAUUCUUUACUCUAUAUCACAAUCCUCUGCACUCAUGUUUACUCUAUACCAUAUAUUCUAUUAUUUCUCUCUCCUGGUGCCCCGCCUCGGGUCCCACAACCUUUGCUG